UGCUAGUUGUACGAGUUCAGACUCGUAGCAGAUAGCUCAGUAACACGUGGCCAAACUACCCUAUGGACGCGGAUAACCUCGGGAAACUGAGGCUAAUCCGUGAUACCGUUCGCUGCCUGGAGUGGCGCGAACGCGAAACGUUACGGCGCCAUAGGAUGUGGCUGCGGCCGAUUAGGUAGACGGUGGGGUAACGGCCCACCGUGCCAAUAAUCGGUACGGGUUGUGAGAGCAAGAGCCCGGAGACGGUAUCUGAGACAAGAUACCGGGCCCUACGGGGCGCAGCAGGCGCGAAACCUUUACACUGCACGCGAGUGCGAUAAGGGGACUCCAAGUGCGAGGGCAUAUAGUCCUCGCUUUUCACGACCGUAAGGAGGUCGUAGAAUAAGUGCUGGGCAAGACCGGUGCCAGCCGCCGCGGUAAUACCGGCAGCACGAGUGAUGACCGCUCUUAUUGGGCCUAAAGCGUCCGUAGCUGGCCACGCAAGUCUAUCGGGAAAUCCGCGCGCUUAACGCGCGGGCGUCCGGUGGAAACUGCGUGGCUUGGGACCGGAAGAUCCAGAGGGUACGUCCGGGGUAGGAGUGAAAUCCCGUAAUCCUGGACGGACCACCGGUGGCGAAAGCGCUCUGGAAAAGACGGAUCCGACGGUGAGGGACGAAAGCUCGGGUCACGAACCGGAUUAGAUACCCGGGUAGUCCGAGCUGUAAACGAUGUCUGCUAGGUGUGCCACAGGCUACGAGCCUGUGGUGUGCCGUAGGGAAGCCGUGAAGCAGACCGCCUGGGAAGUACGUCCGCAAGGAUGAAACUUAA
This 807-nucleotide ribosomal RNA is filed under the name uncultured euryarchaeote. Its description in RNAcentral is "bacterial SSU rRNA". It matches the Rfam family "Archaeal small subunit ribosomal RNA", at positions 52 to 859 of the family's 1478-position model. The record is from RNAcentral. Lineage: Archaea; Methanobacteriati; Methanobacteriota.